CACACACACACAGUAGCCUAAAUCCCCGUCAGUGUGUGUCAGUGUAGCCUAAAUCCCCGUCAGUAUGUGUGUGUGUGUGUGUGUGUGAGAAAGAGAGAGAGAGAGAGAGAGAGAGAAGGCUAUCCUGUCCCACUCCGUGCUACAGUGGCAAUGACGAAUAGCAACAGGUGCCUCUGCGUUCCGUUCUGUUCGCACCUGCACAGCGCGUCACACACACUCUGCUGUAAAAACACUCCUGGGAGAAAUAUGGUGAUACAUUGCCCAUAUAGGCUAAAAGAGAUCCAGGAAGUGCUUAUAUACCUGCUGCCCGAGUCCCACGCCUGAUAAUACAUCUAUUUUCCGUUCUAUAGUCUGGAUACACUGAUCUAAGGUCAGUUUUGCACACCACAGUCUAAUGGUUAAGGUCGGGGUCGAGGGAGGGCGAUCUGAUCCUAGAUCUGCGCCUAUGAGCAACUUCUACUUGGAGCCGCAACAGGCAGGUAGUUUCAUGAUUGCGACCUGGAUAAGAAGGAAGUCUUCCUCAUCUGUUGGCUGUGAAAGAAAGAGAGAGAGGAAAAGAGAGAGAGAGACAGAGGAAAAGAGGCUGAGAGAGAGGAAGAGAGAGAGAGAGAGGAAAAGAGGCUGAGAGAGAGGAAGAGAGAGAGAGAGAGGAAAAGAGGCUGAGCGAGAGGAAGAGAGAGAGACAGAGAGAGAGUACACUAAUAAUUAGGGGUUCAACAAGGGUUCUUCUAAGAUCCUCAACAUUCUUUGAAUAACCUUAGGGUUCUUGGCACUGAAAAUUGCCCCCAAAAGGUUCUUCCAAGAACCCCAUAGGAGGUGGGGUUCAUCGUGGAACCUCCUUAGUUGUUGGAGGUUCUUGCAGGAGCCUAACUGCCCAACUGAAACAUUUGGAUUUGAAUUUGAAAGGACAGCAGGAACUUAACUGAAGAACGUAAAGAUCUCCUCAAUUUAAGAUAAGGUUUGGCCCUUGUGUGAUCUAAAUGUAUAUUGUUUUAUGAUGAUACCAUCUAUCUUUUCAUAUUUGUGCAAAUCUUUCUAAAACAAAGAAAAUGGACACAAUUCAGUGGAAAUCAAUCAACAAAGAGGUAUAAAGACAAGGAGGCAUAAAAAAAGUAUGUCAAUAGGUAUUGGUAUGUUAUGCAGAUCACAUACCAUCCUCCUCCCUUCCUCUUCAAUAAAUAUCCCACAGGCCUCUACAUUAUGGACAAGACUUCACCCUCCCUACAGGGAACUUGUUUGAUCACCAUGCACUGCAAAAUCAUUCUGGCUGUGGAUACGGAGAACAUCAACACAUUAACAUCAACACACGAGAGGAUGUACCCAUUGGACUUGGGGCUCUGCUGGGACUUUACCUCAUGUCUCCAGCAGGAGGCACUCUUUCCCCUGGUCUAAAAAAUAUCCCAAUGCUCCAGGGCAGUGAUUGGGGACAUUGCGCUGUGUAGGAUGCCGUCUUUCGGGUGGGACGUUAAACGGGUGUCCUGACUCUCUGAGGUCAUUAAAGAUCGCAUGGCACUUAUCGUAAGAGUAGGGGUGUUAACCCCGGUGUCCUGGCUAAAAUCCCAAUCUGGCCCUCAUACCAUCACAGUCACCUAAUCAUCCCCAGUUUACAGUUGGCUAAUUCAUCCCUCUCCUCUCCCCUGUAACUAUUCUCCAGGUUGUUGCUGUAAAUGAGAACGUGUUCUCAGUCAACUUACCUGGUAAAAUAACGGUAAAAUAAUAUAUAUAUACAUUUAAAUAUUUUUUACAUUUUGCUUUGCCAUUAAAAUCAUAAUAAGCACUGAGA
This is a long non-coding RNA of Oncorhynchus tshawytscha (Chinook salmon), 1783 nucleotides long. The record is from Ensembl. NCBI's taxonomy places the organism in Eukaryota, Metazoa, Chordata, Actinopteri, Salmoniformes, Salmonidae.